Molecule: long non-coding RNA, 614 nt
Filed under: Fukomys damarensis (Damara mole-rat)
Lineage: Eukaryota; Metazoa; Chordata; Mammalia; Rodentia; Bathyergidae
Description: lncRNA (ENSFDAG00000028883.1)
Source: RNAcentral
GUUACUUUGGGGGCCCUCCAGGGAACAGGGUAUAACAGAUUGGGAACCAGUGUUCCGUGCUUCCUCCCCCAAGUUGGGAAAUUCCUUUUUGGAAAUGAUUUGCCUUUUUACUCAGUCAGUUAAUGACACUAAAAGUUAAUGUAAAACAGCAGACCUUCCCGUUCUGCAACUUCCAUAAUGAAGCCACCGCCCUGGUGAAUACAGUGUCACCAACCUUACCAAGUGCAGAGCUCCUGUUUCAAAAAGAACCUGACCCUCCUGCAUUCCCAAGGGGACCGGCUCUGGAGAGAGGAAACCUGGACCAGAAGCAGAAUGACAUGCAGUUUAAAUCACCUGAGGAAGAUUCUUGAACAUGGAGCUUCAAAAAGAGAAGACAAAUGAAUUUGAGGCACACCGGAGCUUCUGAAGAUCUUCACUGUAAGCGCAUAGAGAAUUUCAGCUCCACGAACCUUUAUUCUGCCCUGUGUGGAAGGACUACAGGUUGCUGUCACCUGUAAAGGAUAAUUCCUUUACAUCCCUUCCUGAUCACAGACAGCAUUGCCAUGAUGACCUUGGGUGAGUGCUAUUUUGCAUACUUGAAGCUAUGCAUGUAGGGUAAAUUCGCAGGGGCAGAA